RNAcentral lists this ribosomal RNA (446 nucleotides) under uncultured organism. RNAcentral describes it as "bacterial SSU rRNA". It matches the Rfam family "Bacterial small subunit ribosomal RNA", at positions 28 to 507 of the family's 1533-position model. The record is from RNAcentral.
AACGAACGUUGGCGGCGUGGAUUAGGCAUGCAAGUCGCGGGAAUCCCAGCAAUGGGGGAACCGGCGUAAGGGGCAGUAAUGCGUGGGUACCUACCUUGGGGUCCGGGAUAGCCGUCCGAGAGGGCGGGUAAUACCGGAUGACCUCGAGAGAGCAAAGCUCCGGCGCCCUGAGAGGGGCCCACGUGAUAUUAGCUGGUUGGUGAGGUGACGGCUCACCAAGGCGGAGAUGUCUAGCGGGUGUGAGAGCACGACCCGCGCCACUCGCACUGAGACACUGGCGAGACACCUACGGGUGGCUGCAGUCGAGGAUCUUCGGCAAUGCGCGCAAGCGCGACCGAGCGACGCCGCGUGGGCGAUGAAGGCCUUCGGGUUGUAAAGCCCUGUCGAGGGGGAGAAAAGGGUAAAACUUUGAUCUAUCCCUGGAGGAAGCUCGGGCUAAGUUCGUG